AAAUUAAACUCAAAACAGUUGUACAAAAAAUGACUAACUGUAAUACAGUAUUUAUAACCCCACCCCCUCCAAAUAAAAAAGGAAUGAAAUGGGAGAACAAAUAUUAAUUAAGUACUUCCUUCUAUUCUUAAACAAGCAUUUUGUGUAGUAGAUGAAGUGGUUGUGUAUGAAUUUAUGGGUUCUACUGCCCCUUCAUUCCAUUCUGUCACCAUUAAUCUACUCUCCUCUAAUCAUAUUUGCACAUAUUUCGCAUAAUCUGCAAAAUCACAAGACAAUAUAAGAAUGAUGUUAUAUUUAGAGGCAGAUAUAGGAUUCAAGAAGAUAGAUGCAUUAUUAUAAAGAGUUGAAUAUAGAUUUAUAUUUGCGGAUUCAACCUUUAAGUUCUUACUAUGAAAUCAUUAUCAUUUAGAUAUUAUAGUUAAAAACUAAAAAUUUCUUGCAAUUUUAGUGAAUUUUCACAUAUAUUCCUACUCCAUAAAAAUAUAUAAUGGAAUCAUUAAACCGUGCUACAUCAUUUACUGCUAUUCAUUUUAAUUAUAAAAUUUUGUGAUAAUAAAAGGAGAUCAAGGAUUUCAAGGUGUUAGAUUUGGGAUUUUUAAUAAGUAAACCAAACAAAAAAGAAAAAAUAAAAAUAAAUACUUAAUUAAAAACACAAGAGGUACACUACACAUGCCAACAAACUAAGAUUUGAACCUCCAACUUCACUUGUAAAGAUGCACCCAAUAUCAUUGCAACAUAGGACUAUUUGAGCUUGAGUGUCCAGUGUAUAUUUAUGGAAUUUUUAAGAAAUACAACAUUACUAUACAUAGUAUCGAGAGAGGAGCAUGGCUUCAGGUACACCAUGCUCCAACACAUAGAUACGCCCUAGGUUACUCUCCUCAAUCAAUAUGUGCAAUAGAUAUAUAAAGCACAACGAGAGACUUUUAUUGGUAAAAAGUGCAACCACAACUACGAACUUAAUUCUAAGGUAGGCUAGACAAAUUCUUAUUGUCCUUAUUGCUCCAUUUAAAAUCCUAUAUGUAUUAAGUACCUUAUGAAAAUUAGUUGUUCUUUUUUUUUUUUCCUGUUUUACUUUAUCCCUUUUAAGUACUUGAAUCCUUAAUCUCAAGGAGCAUAAUUUUUUCUUUUACUAUUUUAUUUAAUUAUGAUACUAUUGCAUGGACUCUCUAAAAUAUUAUCAAAUUUGUAACGACCUGAAAUUUUAUCAAGAUCCUAAUGACACCUAACCCGACCUGAUAGGCGAACCAACACACAUAACAUUCAUGACAACAUAUCACUAAAGGUAUUACAUAGUAUAAGUAAUAGCAUGAAUAAGUGUGAAGACAAUAGGCAACUGCAGAAAAUACUAUCUUAUCUCAAGUAGUACAAGUCAUAAACUACUAAACAGAGUAUGACUGAGUCUUAAAUAUAAAUGUAUUGGCUGAAUCAAGAAAAUUGUAGGAAAAAUAAGAAAGAAAACCUCAACGCUUGUAUUCUUCGAGGAACUUUUUGAUCAUUUACCUUCAUCAAAGCAGGAAGCAUGAAAACUCCAAAAUUAGUAAUAAAGGGUGAUUUUGUUGUGAUUUUGAAUUUUUGGCUUAUGUUCUAAUAGUUAACCACAAAAGGAAAACGAAGAGCAUGGUCCAUAAUCUCGUUGUUGCCGAGCCCGAUUCACUAUGAUCACCGGCGGAUCUAUGUAGGGCAAAGGGGGUGGCACGCCACCCACAAGCUCGAGUAAAAAUUCCAAGUAUACAGUGCCACCUUGAGGAAAA
RNAcentral lists this long non-coding RNA (1751 nucleotides) under Nicotiana benthamiana. RNAcentral's name for it is "long non-coding RNA (NBEN_LNC039879)". Lineage: Eukaryota; Viridiplantae; Streptophyta; Magnoliopsida; Solanales; Solanaceae. The record is from RNAcentral.